CCGUCCUCCACCAACCACACCACCGCACCACCACAUACCUAUCAACUAACAAUCUAACAUAAAGAAGGAAUAUUCUACUAUAUUUAUAUAAUUUUGGAGUAGAAAAAUGGUGAACAUCCACUAAACUUCGUAGAAUCGUAUCUUAUGUAGUCAAAGAUUUGAGAAUUUGAAAACAACAACAACAAUAGAAUAUUAAACGCAAUAGCCAUGACCUUUCUUUGUAGCCGUCCUCCACCAACC
This 240-nucleotide long non-coding RNA is filed under the name Capsicum annuum. Its description in RNAcentral is "long non-coding RNA (CANN_LNC017768)". Lineage: Eukaryota; Viridiplantae; Streptophyta; Magnoliopsida; Solanales; Solanaceae. The record is from RNAcentral.